Molecule: ribosomal RNA, 497 nt
Filed under: uncultured bacterium
Lineage: Bacteria
Description: partial 16S ribosomal RNA
Rfam family: Bacterial small subunit ribosomal RNA
Source: RNAcentral
GAUGAACGCUGGCGGCGUGCCUAAUACAUGCAAGUCGAGCGAACAGACGAGGAGCUUGCUCCCCUGACGUUAGCGGCGGACGGGUGAGUAACACGUGGAUAACCUACCUAUAAGACUGGGAUAACUUCGGGAAACCGGAGCUAAUACCGGAUAAUAUAUUGAACCGCAUGGUUCAAUAGUGAAAGACGGUUUUGCUUUCACUUAUCGAUGAUUCCGCGCCGCAUUAGCUAGUUGGUAAGGUAACGGCUUACCAAGGCAACGAUGCGUAGCCGACCUGAGAGGGUGAUCGGCCACACUGGAACUGAGACACGGUCCAGACUCCUACGGGAGGCAGCAGUAGGGAAUCUUCCGCAAUGGGCGAAAGCCUGACGGAGCAACGCCGCGUGAGUGAUGAAGGUCUUCGGAUCGUAAAACUCUGUUAUUAGGGAAGAACAAAUGUGUAAGUAACUAUGCACGUAUUGACGGUACCUAAUCAGAAAGCCACGGCUAACUACGUG